GAGCCGCCGGGACGCGGUUGUGGAGGCCCCAGGGCUGCCGGGCAGUAGCGAUUUCCGGGACGGCCGGGCGGCCAAGUUCGGUGACCUUUCUAUGGCGUGUGCGGUCGCCGAGGCCGCCCCGCGUCUGACAUCCCCGGGGCAGUGGGCUCUCCUCGUGUGGCCUGGCGCGUGAUUGCUGGCCCACCCCACUCUGCCAGGCCUCAGUUCCUAGUCUCUGAGGGUCUGGGCUUCUGCAGGGACGUAGGAGUUACAAAAUGCCCCCUCCGCCCAUGUCCCCCCAUUUUUUGAGGUCUUGACCUCUACCUCCCAGAGCUCACGCUGCCUCCUCCAGGAAGCUUGUCCCGGAGCCCUGGGACGAGACUCGAGCCCCACCCCUGACCCCCGUGCUCUCGGGCCCACAAACAGGUCCCUGGGCCUUGACGCAUGGCCAUCUGGGGACCCCUGUCCCAGAACGCAGAGCCUGGGCAGAGCCCCCUCCCCAGCCAUGGCCCCAGGUUCGUUGGGGGUCCUGAGGCUGGUAAAGGCCGCCUUUCGUCAGGCUGAGACCGUGAACUUGGCACGGGCCAUCACCACCGACAGCUGACUAGUAGGAGAUGCAAAGGGAGAGGACCCUGCCGAGGCCUGAGGUCCCCGUGAGGCGCGGGGGCUGGGGAGCCGAGAAGCCGACCUUGAUGGAAGGCCGACCUUGAUUAAUUAAGGUUUUGCUGUAAGAACAGAUGCUACUCACGCGCCAUCUCCCUGUUCCGGCCCCUCCCACCACGCCCUGGAGGCAUUUCGCUGUGUCUGUCCCAUCUUCCACACUGCCGCUGCGGGCAUGGUCCCACCGUAGGGACUCGGUGCCAGGUUGUGCACAUCUAAACUUCAUGCCUGGUGACUCCAUUUCCAAGGCUGAGGGGUGGUGGCAAUGGGGUGCCCUGGGGUUGUGGAGGUGGAGUUUUGCUCACCUCUGGGAUUCAGGAAGGUGCCCUGGGCAUGAGGCCAAGGAGAGAAGUCAGACGUGAGCCGCUGAACUGGGGACAGACUUGACUUUCUUCUUCUUGUUUUGUGUUUUGCAGAGACUGGGUCUUGCUGUGUUGCUCAGGCUGCUAGGCUGGCCUUGAACCCCUGAGCUCAAGCGAUAGCCUCCCAAAUUGCUAGGAUUACAGGCCUGAGCCACCCUACCUGGCCCUCCUUGCCAUUUUUUAAAAAUUUAAUUUUUGUGGGUACAUACUAGGUGUAUAUAUUUACGGUGUACAUGAGAUUACAUGAGAUAUCUUGAUACAGGCAUGCAAUGCAUAAUAACCACAUCAGGGUACCCAACAGGUCAAGUUUUUUUUUUUUUUUUUUUUUUUUUUGAGAUGGAGUCUUUUUUUGUUGCCCGGGCUGGAGUGCAAUGGUGCGAUCUCUGCUCACUGAAGCCUCCAUCUCCUGGGUUCAGGUGAUUCUCCUGCCUCAGCCUCCUGAGCAGCUGGGAUCACAGGCGUGCGCCACCACGCCCAGCUCAUUUUUGUAUUUUUAGUAGAGAAACGUUUUCACCGUGUUGGCCAGACUGGUCUCGAGUUUCUGACCUCAGAGUGAUCCACCUGCCUCAGCCUCCCAGAGUGCUGGGAUUACAGACGUGAGCCAUCGCGCCCAGCCAGUUCAAGCAUUUAUCUUUUGCGUCCUUGACAUUCUUGAGGGACAUGUUUGAGGUCUUUGGGGCUCUCCAGAUUUGUGUCCACAACAAACAUUGAUUAUCCACUGAAAAUGCAAUCACAUUCAACCGGAAAUAGCCCCUUGGAGGAUCCUUAGGUCAGUGGGGGGAGCUGAGUGGGCUCCUGCCUGUCUGUCAGCAUUUCAUCCCCAGCAUCCUGUGUCCAUGGGCUGCACCGGCAUGGAGGGGGUUCCCACUGGGUGGCACCGGCAGCAGAGGCAGCCUCACACCUCACGCACUAUCCGAGCUUCAGAAUGCGUCUCUGUAUGCUGGUGGGGCCAGAAGCCCGGCUGCCUCUGUGCCUGGCUGCCAUGCUCAGUCUUUCUUGGGCCUGGGCUGGGGACCUGGCUGGGGAAACCAAGAGUAUUUCAGAGCUGUGGUUUGGGACGUGGAUAUCCCAUGGAGCGCCCGAGCCAGAUGUGCCAGGGCCAGAGCGCACCUCCACUCCUGAGGAGUCCCUUUGCCCUCCACUGUAAAGCGCUGAAAUGUGGUGGCCUGGGCUCCCAGCUGACGGCACGGGAAGCACUGUAUUUGUCGGCCCAGGGAUGAAGGUGGCACAAUUCAGAGUAGAGCCCGGUUCUGCCUUGGUGUUGGCUCUUGCCUGUGGGGCUGGCACCACGUCCCCUGCUCCGAAUGCCUGCACCUGCUUGGGUGUGUUUGUGUGUGGUCUGCAAUUGGGAUUCCGCACCCCCUCAGCCCCACCCACCAGUUUUUAUUUUAUCCUUAAGACACAUGUUUGAAAGUGACCUAAUCAACGAGGUGUCAUAAAUGAAAUAGCGACAAGAGUGCUCAGGGGAUGGCAUAAGGCUGAGGGCCCCAAGAGGGAGGCUCCCAGCAACCCUGUGGAAAUCACCCAGCAGCCCAUGGCCCCCGACACCUGGUUCUCCCAGAUGACAACUGCUGUGGCCUGAGGGCCCACUGUGUGCCAGGCAAGGCUGUGGGUGUUUGACACACAGGCUCCUGCUCCUGAGAACUCCAGGAAGUAGGGUAGCUAUCUCCACUUUACAGGGGAAGAGACUGAGGCACAGAGGCGAAGUGAUUUGCCCAAGCUCAGCUGGCGGGUAAGAGGCUGAGAUGCCAUCUCAGCUGGGUCUGUGUCCAGGGGCUGUGCUGCCCCUUGGGCCAAAAAGGAAAGACAGAGAAUUAGACAAGACCACCGAGGUAGUGAGCAGAGUUGGGGAGAGGGGGAAAGAAGGACAAGUCAUCAGUUCAGGCUGACAAAUCAGGGAGGCCUCUCAGAGCAGGUGGCACUUGGUCUUGACAUGAGGGUUUGGAAAGAGUUGGGGCAGGCAUGCAGGAUGAGAGGCCUGGGGAUACAGGGAGGGAGUGGAGACCAGCGUGGAGUCAGGGUUGGAGGAGUGCAUUCAGGUGGACUAGCCAGAUGCAGCCGUGCAGGCACGGAGGGCUGGUCUGGGCCAUGCCUUACGGGGGCAGGCUAUAGUGGGCUAUAGUGGGAGACAGGAGAGGCCGCAGUGGGGUGGACAUGCACGAGGCUGCGGCAUGGCCUUUCUGUGCACAGCUUCACUGAGAAGUCUGUGGACAGUCUCACUUAUUCAUCUGCAGGCAGUUUAUUUCUGUUUCUUCUUGGAAGCUCUAGGGAUUUCCUUUCCCUCCCUCCCUCCCUCCCUCCCUCCCUUCCUUCCUUCCCUCCCUCGUUUUCUUUUUUUGAGACAGGAUCUCACUCUGUUGCCCAGGCUGGAGUGCAGUGGCACGAUCACGACUCACUGAAGCCUUGGCCUCCCAGGCUCAGGUGAUCCUCCCACCUUGGCCUCCCAAGUAGCUGGGACUAUAGGCAUGAGCCACCAGGCCAACUAUUUUAUUUUAUUUUAUUUUUUGUAGAGACAGGGUUUCUCCAUGUUGUCCAGGUUGGUCUCAAACUCCUGAGCUCAAGUGAUCCUCCCACCUCAGCCUCCCAAAGCGCUGGGAUUGCAGGCAUGAGCCACCGUGCUCUAUGGCUUUGGGAUUUUUGUUUUCAUCUCCUUACUCAAAAAUUUCUCUACAAUGUUUCUAGAUGGUAACUUUGGGUUUUGCUGUUAUUGUUUCAAGUUGUGCUCAGUUCUCUUUCUUUCUUCUUUUUUUUUUUUUUGGACACAGAGUCUUGCUCUCUCGCCAGGCUGGAGUGCAGUGGUGCAAUCUCAGCUCACUGCAACCUCCGCCUCCUGGGUUCAAAUGAUUCUCCUGCUUCAGCCUCCUGAGUAGCUGGGAUUACAGGCUCCUGCCACCUCGCCCAGCUAGUUUUUACAUUUUCACCAUGUUGGCCAGGCUGGUCUUGAACUCCUGACCUCAAGUGAUCCAACUGCCUGGGCCUCCCAAAGUGCUGGGAUUACAGGUGUGAGCCACUGUGCCCAGCCUAUGCUCACUUUUCAAUUAAACUGCACACAUCUUAAGAUUAUACCUGUGUAACAAGUAUAGUAGCUAUGAGAUCCAUCAUGUUUUAAAAUGGGUUUUAUUAUGAUUCUGGCAUAGUGCGACCGACAGAGCAGGACUCGACUGCCAUUGGAAAGAAUUUGUUACUUACAGUUCCCAAGAGGAGAGGGCACACCUUGCCACACACGGCCACCUGGGGCGCACCAGGCCAGGCUGGAGGGCAGGGGAGUGAGGGGAAAUGUGGGAAAGCCCUUCUUGAGGUUUCCACGGGAAGGAAUGGGUGAGGCAGGGUGAGCAGGCUUGGGAUUGGUAGGUUUGAAUCAUUUCAGGAGGCUGGGGGUGUAGAGCUGUCUAGACUGCCUGGUACUGACCCUCCGGUGAUUAGGGCAGGGGAAUACUGGACGUGACUGUGACAGGCCAAUGGAGGGGAUAGUGGGGUAUGGGCUAGGAUUGGCUAGCUUGCAUCCGAAAGGCUUGCUCCUAAGCUGGUCAUUUGCAAUCUCUAGGAAUUGGCUAGCCCUAGGAGGGGCAGUCCCUCCAGGGUCAGCAAAGCCCCAAGAUGUCACAGCAUCACAAUUACAGAAAAGAAAAAGGCAUGGCGAAUACAACUGGCCCUGUGAUGCGCUGACAUCGUAUUAAGGAAACCUUGGGGUGAUGAUAGCAGAGACUGAUAGAGAGUAAGGCAUAGAUUAGCGUAAACAGCAUGGAACAUUUCAAUGUGAGAGUGGGAAGGGGUGGCACAAGGAGACGUAUGAGGUGUCCUCAUGGUCUGGCUUGUAACCAAGUUUCCCAUUUACAUGGCAUAACCCAAGAAGAGAGAUCUGAAAUUUCCAAGGUCUCUAACAGUAUCUUGGUGGAGUUGUAAAGUGUGUUAAAAGCAUAAGAUAUUUUGUUUCAACAAUAUAUCUUAGAGAUUAGACAAAUCCCCCUUUAAACACAGGAAAGGGUAAUAGGAAAGGUUUUUGUUUAUUUGUUUGUUUGGGUUUUUUUUUUUGAGACAGAGUCUUGCUCUGUCACCCAGGCUGGAGUGCAAUGGUGCGAUUUCCACUUACUGCAACCUCCGCCUCCUGGGUACAAGCAGUUUCCUGCGUCAGCCUCCCAAAUAGCUGGAAUUACAGGUGCCUGCCACCAUGACUGGCUAAUUUUUUUUUUUUUUUUGCAGGUGGAGUCUCGCUCUGUCGCCCAGGCUGGAGUGCAGUGGCAUGAUCUCAGCUCACUGCAACCUCUGCCUCCCGGGUUCAAGCAAUUCUCCUGCCUCAGCCUCCUGAGUAGCUGGGACUACAGGUGCAUGCUGCCACACCUGGCUAAAUUUUUGUAUUUUAGCAGAGAUGGGGUUUCACCAUGUUGCCAAGGCUGGUCUUGAACUCCUGAGCUCAGGUGAUCCACCUGCCUCGGCCUCCCAAAGUGCUGGGAUUACAGGCAUAAGCCACCGUGCCCAGCCAUUUUUUUGGUAUUUUUAGUAGAGCUGGGGUUUCACCAUGUUGGCCAGGCUCUUCUCGAACUCCUGACCUUAGGUGAUCCACCCGCCUCGGCCUCCCAAAAUGCUGGGAUUACAGGUGUGAGCCACCAUGCCCAGCCCUCUGGUUUUGAUUUAAGUUUGGGUCUCUGUGAGGCAAGAGUCCCAGAGUCCUUGACCCUCAAAGGGACAACUCAGCCAGUGGCACCAUAGUUUGUAACAAAUAUGAAGAUGCGGCCCUGUGUCAGUCAGGCAGCCAGUACUAAGGUGACUGCCUGGAGUUUGGCCAAUUGUGUUGACCCUUGAGUCCUGUCCUUCACUGGGGACAUUCUGACUGAGAGAUGGAAAGCAGCCAUCAUCCACUGAGCUUCCUCAUUCUUACAAUGGUUGGCAGUGUGGUUCCUACCAUCUGUGUUCACUCAGCUAAUCCCAGGGGCUCUCCAGGUAGCCACGAGGUCUGAGAGAAGGUGAGUUCCUUCAGCACCUACAAGGGAGUUGGGAGGAUUUCCUCCUGCAGGAGGAAUACGCCAGAGGGCUCAGGUUUGGUUCCUUUGCGUCUUAUAAAGGCCUUGGUAGCCACACCAAGUUUGUGGGGGUGCUGCUGCCAUGACCCAAAGCAAAAUGGGCAGCUGGGUAUAGCGCAGUGGUGCGACCACGGCUCACCGCAGUCUCGACCUCUCAGGCACAAGCGAUCCUCCCACCUCAGCUUCCCCAGUAGCUGGGACUGCAGGCAUGUGCCAUCGCGCUCAGCCCAGCAAUUUUGUUAAGAGAAGCGGUGUCUUGCAUUAUCAAACCUUGAGCAACUAAUGGCCAUGCUAGGUGGUCCAGAGACUGCAGGGGGCCUGCGAGGGGUUGCCAAAGCCCAUCCACAGUGCAGGAGUCUCCGAGGGCUCUAACAGGAGUGCCUGCUGAUUUUUACUUGAACGGAUUUAGAGCCUUUUGUGUGAGGGAGUCCUGCUUCACGUGGGCCACCGUAUAAGUAGCAGCAUCAGUAGCAUAAGUAAAAAUUUGUAAAUGAUGAAUGUAUUGCCAUCAGAACCCAAAGAGAACUAAAAGAUGUUGGACUUGGAUGUCCAACAUGUUUUGCCAUCAGUGUCAUGCCAACAUCUCUUCUCAUCAAUGCCAUGCCAACAUCUUCUUCCCAUCAGUGUCAUGCCAACAUCUCUUCCAAUCAAUGUCAUGCCAACAUCUCUUCCCAUCAAUGUCAUGUCAACAUCUCUUCCCAUCAAUGUCAUGCCAACAUCUUCCCAUCAAUGUCAUGCCAACAUCUUCCCAUCAAUAUCAUGCCAACAUCUUUUGCCACGUCCAACGUCUUUUGCUAUCAGUGUCAUGCCAGGCCAGUGCCCCUGGAGCAGGUGGAUGUAGGGAAGUAUUGUCUGCAUAACAGUGUGCCCUGGCAGAGCUGUGGGGGUCCCCCAGGGCAGCCUGGUCCAGCUGCAGUGUGUCCCUCUGGAGGCAGAGGCAAACUGUGGCUGAAAGCCUGUUGAAACAGGCAUCAAAUAUAAUGUAGUAGCCAAAGCUGUCAGCGCAAAAUACUUCAUGGUUGUUGACUGGGGUGGAGUUAAUUUUAAUGCCUUUGGGCCGGGCGCGGUGGCUCACGCCUGUAAUCCCAGCACUUUGAGAGGCUGAGGCAGGCAGGCGGAUCACGAGGUCAGGAGAUCGAGUCCAUCCUGGCUAACACGGUGAAACCCCAUCUCUACUAAAAAUACAAAAAAUUAGCCUGGCGUGGUGGCGGGCGCCUGUAGUCCCAGCUACUCGGGAUGCUGAGGUAGGAGAAUGGUGUGACCCCGGGAGGCGGAGCUUGCAGUGAGCCGAGAUCGCGCCACUGCACUCCAGCCUGGGCGACAGAGCGAGACUCUGUCUCAAAAUAGUAAUAAUAAUAAUUUUAAUGCCUUUGGCUGUUGGGUGUGGGGGCCUUAGCGGGUGGGACCACAGCCUGAAGAUUGUAGAAAUCUACCACCGGGAGCCCUUUGUUUCUCCUGGGUUCAAGAACAGGUGAAAGUAGACUGUUAAACAGAGCAGCAAUGGGGACAAUCACUGCCUUAUUAGUUAGGCUUUAGAUAAUAAGCAUCACUCCCUGAGGGCCUAUUUUAACUUAUAUUGAACCAAAUUAACUAUGUAAUUAAUUAACUUAGUUUUUGAGACAAGACCUUGCUCUGUCUCCCAUGCUGAGUGCAGUGGCGUGAUCUUGGCUCACUGCAGCCUCAACCUCCUAGGCUCAAGCGAUUUUCCCUUCUCAGCCUCCCAAGUAUCUGGGACCACUGGUGUGCACCACCAUACCUGGCUAAUUUUUAAAUUUUUUUUGUAGAGACGGUGUCUUACUAUGUUGCCCAGGCUGGUCUUGAAUUCCUGGGCUCAAGCAAUCCUCCCGCCUCGGCCUCUCAAAGUGCUGGGAUUACAGGUGUGAGCCACCUCACCCGGCCCAAAUUAAAUUUCAACUGGAGGUCCACGGGGUCCCAUUUUAUUGAGCAAAUCUGUAAGCACUUAACUUUAAUUGUAAAGUAAGUACUUUAAUUGUAAAGUAAGUGCUUAAAAUUUAAAAUUAAAGACUUACUUUAAUUUUAUUAUUCAUUGUGUUAGAGCAUCUAUACCCAGUGUGUGAUAUUUUAAGGCAACGGGUACUAUAACUACAGGAAAUUUAGGCAGGGCUGCCAUUACACUUAGGCAUAUCUAUUUUCCCUCUAUUUUAUAUUAAGUUACCUCCAUAUUAUAAGGGGGGUACAAUGUUUAAAUUGAGUUGGGGGCCAGGUGCACUGGCUCAUAUAGUAUCAGUGCUUUAUAGGUAUCAUAUAAUCUCAGUGCUUUGGGAGGCUGAGUCAGGAGAAUUGCUUGAGGCCAGGAGUUUGAGACCAGCCUGGAUGACAUAAUGAGAUCCAAUCUCUACAAAAUAAAUAAAUAAAUAAACAAAAUAAAUAAAAUAAAAUAAAAUUAGCCUAGCUGUGGUGGUGCAUACCUGUAGUCCUAGCUGCUUGGGAGGCUGAAGUGGAAGGAUCACUUGAGUCCAAGAGUUUAAGGCUGCAAUGAGCUAUGAUCAUGCCACUACACCGUAGCCUGGGCAACAGAGUGAGACUUCAUCUCGAAAAAAUUGAAACACUAACAAAUAAAUAAAUAAAAUAAAUUUAAUAGGACCUUCAGGUAUAACUAUAAUUUGAACCACAGUAUAGAUUAAGUCCAUGAAGAUUUGUUAAUCGGUGCAUUUUAGCAAAUGCUAAAGUUAACUUACAGCCUAUUUUGUUUAGAGGCACAAAAGCCAGUCAGUGCCCUUUUAAUCCUUUUAUGUGAAUCCUUUUGGUAUAUGCAUUUUGUCAUAUAUUUGUUAU
RNAcentral lists this long non-coding RNA (8815 nucleotides) under Homo sapiens (human). Its description in RNAcentral is "HSALNT0379103". Lineage: Eukaryota; Metazoa; Chordata; Mammalia; Primates; Hominidae. The record is from RNAcentral.